GAGGGGGGGAUAACUACUGGAAACGGUAGCUAAUACCGCAUAACGUCGCAAGACCAAAGAGGGGGACCUUCGGGCCUCUUGCCAUCGGAUGUGCCCAGAUGGGAUUAGCUAGUAGGUGGGGUAACGGCUCACCUAGGCGACGAUCCCUAGCUGGUCUGAGAGGAUGACCAGCCACACUGGAACUGAGACACGGUCCAGACUCCUACGGGAGGCAGCAGUGGGGAAUAUUGCACAAUGGGCGCAAGCCUGAUGCAGCCAUGCCGCGUGUAUGAAGAAGGCCUUCGGGUUGUAAAGUACUUUCAGCGGGGAGGAAGGCGAUAAGGUUAAUAACCUUGUCGAUUGACGUUACCCGCAGAAGAAGCACCGGCUAACUCCGUGCCAGCAGCCGCGGUAAUACGGAGGGUGCAAGCGUUAAUCGGAAUUACUGGGCGUAAAGCGCACGCAGGCGGUCUGUCAAGUCGGAUGUGAAAUCCCCGGGCUCAACCUGGGAACUGCAUUCGAAACUGGCAGGCUAGAGUCUUGUAGAGGGGGGUAGAAUUCCCAGGUGUAGCGGUGAAAUGCGUAGAAGA
This 569-nucleotide ribosomal RNA is filed under the name Enterobacter hormaechei. RNAcentral's name for it is "bacterial SSU rRNA". It matches the Rfam family "Bacterial small subunit ribosomal RNA", at positions 133 to 696 of the family's 1533-position model. The record is from RNAcentral. Lineage: Bacteria; Pseudomonadati; Pseudomonadota; Gammaproteobacteria; Enterobacterales; Enterobacteriaceae.